Molecule: long non-coding RNA, 468 nt
Organism: Oryzias latipes (Japanese medaka)
Lineage: Eukaryota; Metazoa; Chordata; Actinopteri; Beloniformes; Adrianichthyidae
Source: RefSeq, a predicted model, not a curated record
ACCGAAUAAGACCGAGUCUUACGUCAACAGACCAGUUUAGAAUGUGCCGGGCCGUUGUUAUGCAUACCAUAACAAAAAAGGCAGGAAUACUGAGGCAGCUACGACGUGGAUGUCUACAUCUUCUUUAAGAUGCAGGCCCCAAAGACGUCCCAGUGUGAUGCAAAGGCUGUCCAGCAGGCUCACAGACAUCUCCUGUCAACUGAAAGAGAAGCCUUUAAGAUAGUUGUCCAUUUCGACCACACUGUCUGCUUCCCAUUUCUUAGUGCCUGUACGAAAACAGUGACUUUUCCACCUCAAGUCUUUUAAGGAGUUUUAAAAACAGUUAUUUUAAUUUCUCUGAAUUGUGGUUCAGAAUUUCACAGAACCUAAUGCACUUGACUCUGUGUUUCAAAGAUCUUUGCAAAACCAUCAGUCUUUUGUACAAAACACAUUUAAUGGUCAAACAUUAAAAAAUGAAGCUUUACAAAA